AUUCCCAUAACAGGUGCUGGGAGUUGAACUUGGGUCAUAUGCGAGAGCAGCAUACAAUGUUAACACGUGAUGCUUCUGUCCAGUCCCAGAAGUUGAACUUCUUGGAAAGAGUUCCUUGAAAAUACAAUUCAACCUGCUCCUCUCUUUUCUGCAGAUUCCUGACUGCCAAAAGAUGAGCUGGAAUCCUAGCCAUGUGAUACAUGCCAUGCCGGAGGAAAACAUCCUAAACAGUGAGAGAAAGGAAAAUCUUCAGGAUUGCCAGUGCUAUUUCAAAAUAUCACAGCAAGUGUGAAAUAAGGAUGUCAAUAUGUAUUAGACAAAGAGAAGAGCUGAGUGUGUGGAGAAACAACAGGCAAACCUUGAUGAGGAAAACAGCAGGGGGAUUGCUUUUUGAACCCAGUGACCUUUCUCUAGUCUUAAACACUGAAGAUUGUGUAGAUCACUGAAAAAGAAAUGUUUUCUUCUAAUGCUUUAUUUUCUAUAUACAGUCACCAGGCAUGGCAACAAAACACGAUUACACAAUGAUACAUCUUAGCAGCCUUCAUCAGAGCAUUUAAGAAACUUCAAAGAAGAGUGUCUCAGGAUUAUCCUGUCCAAUUACAUUAGUGGAGAGGAGGCCUGUGAUUGGACAGGGAAAAGAGAGAAAGCUCUAAGGGCUGCAGAGAGAGCUUCUCAGGAGAGUGAAGAGGAGAAGGCAAGGUGGCAGUGGAUGUGAACCGGUAUGGCUUUUUCCAGCCACAGGUAGUUAAGAUAUCUUAAGGAUAGAAUAAUUGGGAUAAAACUUUCAUCAUUACCAAUUGGUCCUGAAAUUAUCGAAUUGACAUCUUGUAAAUUAUGAUUUUAUUGAUCCAUAAAUCUGAUUGGUUAACCGUAA
Long non-coding RNA from Mastomys coucha (southern multimammate mouse), 874 nucleotides. RefSeq lists it as uncharacterized. The record is from RefSeq and is a predicted model, not a curated record. NCBI's taxonomy places the organism in Eukaryota, Metazoa, Chordata, Mammalia, Rodentia, Muridae. The transcript has 4 exons.